CAAGUCGAACGAGCUUCAGGUAGCAAUACUUGGAGCAAGUGGCGAAAGGGGCAGUAAUGUAUGGGUAAUCUACCUCGGGGACGUGGAUAGCUGUCCUAACGGGUAGGUAAUACACGGCGAUUCGGCGGGGGGGCAUCUCCUUGCCGGGAAAUGAAUUUCGCCUCGGGAGGAGCUCAUAUCGUAUUAGGUAGUUGGCGGGGUAACGGCCCACCAAGCCUCAGAUGCGUAGCGGGUGUGAGAGCACGACCCGCGCCACUGGCACUGAGACACUGGCCAGACACCUACGGGUGGCUGCAGUCGAGGAUCUUCGGCAAUGAGCGCAAGCUUGACCGAGCGACGCCGCGUGUGCGACGAAGGCCUUCGGGUUGUAAAGCACUGUCGAGGGGGAGGAAAGCCCGAAAGGGUCUGACCUAUCCCUGGAGGAAGCACGGGCUAAGUUCGUGCCAGCAGCCGCGGUAAGACGAACCGUGCGAACGUUGUUCGGAAUCACUGGGCUUAAAGGGCGCGUAGGCGGGCAUUAAAGUCAGGGGUGAAAUCCCCCAGCUUAACUGGGGAACUGCCUUUGAUACUGAAUGUCUCGAGUAAGGUAGGGGCAUGCGGAACUGAUGGUGGAGCGGUGAAAUGUGUUGAUAUCAUCAGGAACUCCGGUGGCGAAGGCGGCAUGCUGGACCUUCACUGACGCUGAGGCGCGAAAGCUAGGGUAGCGAACGGGAUUAGAUACCCCGGUAGUCCUAGCCCUAAACGAUGAGUACUAGGUUGUAGCCUUGACAUGGGGUUACAGCCGGAACAAAAGUGCUAAGUACUCCGCCUGGGGAGUAUGGUCGCAAGGCUGAAACUCAAAAGAAUUGACGGGGGCUCACAUAA
Molecule: ribosomal RNA, 864 nt
Filed under: uncultured Planctomycetota bacterium
Lineage: Bacteria; Pseudomonadati; Planctomycetota
Description: bacterial SSU rRNA
Rfam family: Bacterial small subunit ribosomal RNA
Source: RNAcentral